UCACUACUUGCGUAGGCAGUCCACUUAGAGUGCCCAGCAUUACCUGAUGGCAACUAAGUGCAGGGGUUGCGCUCGUUGCAGGACUUAACCUAACACCUCACGGCACGAGCUGACGACAGCCAUGCAGCACCUGUACUCCGUGUGUAUUGCUACACUAGCCGGCUUUCACCGGUUUACAGAGCCUUUCAAACCCAGGUAAGGUUCUUCGCGUUGCAUCGAAUUAAACCACAUGCUCCACUGCUUGUGCGGGCCCCCGUCAAUUCCUUUGAGUUUCAACCUUGCGAUCGUACUCCCCAGGUGGAAUACUUAAUGCGUUAGCUUAGACACCGACCCUUGCGGGCCGACAUCGAGUAUUCAUCGUUUAGGGCGUGGACUAC
Molecule: unclassified non-coding RNA, 377 nt
Filed under: uncultured Ignavibacteria bacterium
Lineage: Bacteria; Pseudomonadati; Ignavibacteriota; Ignavibacteria
Description: contains 16S-23S intergenic spacer region
Source: RNAcentral